UCAAACAUAUAUUUCAAUGAUUAAACACAAACAUUAGUAUCAUCAUUUGUCUCAAAAACUAAACAUUAAGCACAUUCAUUCCAACGAUUAAUCAUAAAGGAUCUACUACAUCCAUUCAAGCAAUUACUAUACUUAAUUAUCUAAUACAACUGCACGACAAAAUUAACUUCAUUGAUUGUUAUUUGGAUUACUUCAAUUGGAGGAUCUUCUUUUAUUCAUACGUGAAAUGGAUCCACUAGCUGCAUCACUUGGCUACAAAAAGAAUUUAAAUUAUAAUUAAUCAAAAGGACCACAAUAAAAUCAUAUUCAAUAAACUACAACUUAGCUAAUUAAAAGAGAUCAACUUAGAUCAUUUCAGCAGAAAGCAAAAUAUGAAUACAAG
Molecule: long non-coding RNA, 382 nt
Filed under: Solanum tuberosum (potato)
Lineage: Eukaryota; Viridiplantae; Streptophyta; Magnoliopsida; Solanales; Solanaceae
Description: long non-coding RNA (STUB_LNC005755)
Source: RNAcentral